Molecule: long non-coding RNA, 2787 nt
Organism: Homo sapiens (human)
Lineage: Eukaryota; Metazoa; Chordata; Mammalia; Primates; Hominidae
Exons: 3
Source: RefSeq, a predicted model, not a curated record
CAUCUGUUAGCGAAUCCCUUUAAUUCUACCAUUAGGUACUCUUCCUUUUGGCUUAAGGCUUAGAGUGUUUCUAAAAUGCCCUCUGGAAGGUGUUACUUUAAAAUGGCUGUUGCUAUUUAUGGUCUCUUGUGAAGAUGCAGGGACUACUAGGUUGUUUUGAGAAGAAAGGGAAGCCAGUGAUUGGAGUUCUGGGUGGGAAGGGGGAAGGAAAGGGAGUCAGGGAGGGUUCAGAGCUAAGAGCAGGUCCUUUCCCUGUCCAUUUAGCCAAUGUUUUUAUUUUUCCUAUUUUUCCUUUUCGGUGCCAGUGCAUGGGAAAGUAGAUUUCAUUUAUUCAUUCACUCAUUCCUUUUUUUUUUUUUUUUUUUUAAUAAAAAGGGCUUCCCUCUGUUUCUUGGGCUACAGUGCAGUGCUUCAAUCAUGGGUCAAUGCAGUCCUGAACUCCUGGGCUCAAGCAAUCCUUCCACUUCAGUCCCAAGUAGCUAAUACUACUAGCUUACAUUUCUGCCUGGGAGACUUACAAGCGCACAACAGGAUUAAUCCAUCAGCUCUGCUGGGCUGGGAGAGGGAGGGAGCCAGGCGGAGGAAGUAUCAAUGAUACCGCACUCCAGUGAGCACUGAAGAGGCUCCAUUCAUGGACCAACAAAACCUGGAAGAAGCCUCAGACUUAAUCAGCCAAGGAGGCUCCAGCAGCAGGAACAAAAGAAAUCAAAGCUUCACUGGGUGCUGAAAGUAUCUGGAAGAUUCCAUUAUUAUCAGGAUGACUCACAAAAUUUAAUAAUUACUUGUUUUUGCUUUGUUUUGUGUGCCCAUGUUUUACAUGAUGUGACCUUCUGCUGCCCUGUACUAUCAUAAAUUGCAUCUUUCUGAAGGCAGUUCUGAGUAAGUUUGUGUCCAUGAGUAUGUGCUAGCAUUUCAGCUCAUGGGCAUUGCCUUAAAGAAGUAACUGGGGCUGUCAGCAAUCUGUUGUGAGGUCUUCAACCAGCUCAUUUAUUAAAUAGCUUUAGGACAAAUAUUCUUGGCUGAAAAAUCUGGUAUAAAAAUGAAAAGGAGAGUCCUGCAAACAAAGAAUACAGUUCACUGUGUUCAGUUAUUUUUCCCUAAAAAAAAUGCGUAAGAGAUGUAGAGUUAAAAAAUAUUUUUGAGUUGUUAUGACCAGUUGAUGACAGACGUGGUUUUUACUUUUAAAAUAUGGUAUCUGUGACUACAACUGAUUGUGGGCAAAACCACAGAGAUGCUUCUUUUGCUUGAAUUCAGCUAUUUUCCUUUUCUGUGUUCUUCUCCCAACUUCUGAUUUGUUCUUACCCAUGAAUUAGGUGGCUCUUGAGUUGCUCUUGAUCUUACCCCUAUUCUUUGCUGUUGUCCCUAAGCAAUGCUCUUUAUCUGGGGCCAAACCCACUUCUUCUCCCCACUCAAUACUUUCCAGCCAAGGGUCCUGACUUUCCGGUCCAGGUGCAAGUUCCUGACGCUGGAUAAUUCCAGGCAUCAUUUCCACAACAUAGAGCUUUUGGGACAGAAAAGCCUUUACACAGCACUCAUCUCAGAUUCCCCAUGGAGGGUCUGCCUAUGCAUUGAGUCUGGCCCCUUCAGACCCCUUUUUCUUGUCAUCACAGAGGGAGCCCGAGCUCUUGGCCAGGCUUGUGAGCAGAGCAAAGACAGUUGCUAUCGCUAUAGAACCAUUUAAAGCUUGUGUGUGUGUGUGUGUGUGUGUGUGUGUGUGUGUGUGUGUGUGUGUGUGUGGAAAGACCUUCUGCUAGGCCUUAUUACAUCCUACUGGUUCUCCUCUCACUUCUGUGGUGUGAAUGUUAAUUAUCUAGGAGCAGACCACUCCAUCAUUACAGAUCUCACCUUCCCACUCUAGUCUGUUUCCCAGUGAAAACAUAGCUUCUGCAGCCCUCAGCCCCUAGAGUUGACCCCUCCAUCUUUACAGGCACUUCCUGCUUUUGGUGGCAACUUUCAUCUCAAGGAAUUAGAGGUGUUUUGUGCAGCCAGCACACAGUGGAGACAGGGCACAUUCGCAGAGCUGAACAGACUGCCAAGAAAGACAGUGCCCUUCUGCUGUAAAAUUCCAGUAGAAGUCCUGUGGCUGGGAUCGUGACACACACGGGAGUCUAAGGCUCACAACGGGCUAGCAUAGUCUACCUUGUAAGCCUUACAAAUAUUGAAAUAUGGCUUUGCAGGGGGUAGUUUAUAUAAGAUGAGGUAAGUUAGCCAUGGGACUUUCCCCAUAGUCAAAAAGUUUGAGAGCAUUGAAGAAAAGUAUAGCCUUGGUUGGAAGCCAAGGAAUGGCCAUCAUCUUUGAAGAGUAUCUUCUUUUGCACCUGAAAAUGGGCAGCUCAGCCUAUGACACAGAAGGAUGCAGAGAAGGCCCACUGAUGGCCUUGGCCUCAGAGACUCAUCACUGUCCUUUCAGACUCCAGAUCCUGACUCUCUUGACAUCAUUAGAGUAGCAUCCUCCAUGCCCCAGGUGCUGACACAGCCUCCAAGCCACACACACACACACACACACACACACACACACACACACCAGUUUGUUAAUUUACCCAGAAAAAUACAACUAAUAAGAGUACUGGUUAUUCACUCUGGCCAAAUCAGCACACUGGCUCAGAAUGCAGGCAGUGAGUUAAGCUUCAGAAGUGUCUCUCCAUUGAGAUGCUUUAGGCUCUCUCAGCAAGUCAAGGACAAGAAGACUCUGUCCAGAGCUGUUAUAGUGCCUUAGUGGGUCUACCAACAUUUGCCUCUGCAACACCCCACCUUUUUCUUUAUUUUAUUUUAUUUAUUUUUUUUUUU